UACGUAGGGGGCUAGCGUUGUCCGGAUUUAUUGGGCGUAAAGAGCUCGUAGGCGGUGUGUCACGUCGGCCGUGAAAACCUGGGGCUUAACUCUGGGCGUGCGGUCGAUACGGGCAUCACUAGAGUUCGGCAGGGGAGACUGGAAUUCCUGGUGUAGCGGUGAAAUGCGCAGAUAUCAGGAGGAACACCGGUGGCGAAGGCGGGUCUCUGGGCCGAUACGGACGCUGAGGAGCGAAAGCGUGGGGAGCAAACAGG
RNAcentral lists this ribosomal RNA (254 nucleotides) under uncultured bacterium. RNAcentral describes it as "partial 16S ribosomal RNA". It matches the Rfam family "Bacterial small subunit ribosomal RNA", at positions 524 to 776 of the family's 1533-position model. The record is from RNAcentral.